GACGAACGCUGGCGGCGUGCUUAACACAUGCAAGUCGAGCGGGGAUAAGCUGAAUGAGAGCUUCGGCAGGAUUAUGGUUUAUUCCAGCGGCGGACGGGUGAGUAACGCGUGAACAAUCUGUCCCAGACAGGGGGAUAACACUUGGAAACAGGUGCUAAUACCGCAUAAGACCACGGCAUCGCAUGGUGCAGGGGUAAAAGGAGCGAUUCGGUUUGGGGUGAGUUCGCGUCCGAUUAGAUAGUUGGUGAGGUAACGGCCCACCAAGUCGACGAUCGGUAGCCGACCUGAGAGGGUGAUCGGCCACAUUGGAACUGAGAGACGGUCCAA
RNAcentral lists this ribosomal RNA (327 nucleotides) under uncultured bacterium. Its description in RNAcentral is "bacterial SSU rRNA". It matches the Rfam family "Bacterial small subunit ribosomal RNA", at positions 28 to 334 of the family's 1533-position model. The record is from RNAcentral.